This 479-nucleotide ribosomal RNA is filed under the name uncultured bacterium. RNAcentral describes it as "partial 16S ribosomal RNA". It matches the Rfam family "Bacterial small subunit ribosomal RNA", at positions 28 to 507 of the family's 1533-position model. The record is from RNAcentral.
GAUGAACGCUAGCGGGAGGCCUAACACAUGCAAGCCGAGCGGUAUUGUUUCUUCGGAAAUGAGAGAGCGGCGUACGGGUGCGUAACACGUGUGCAACCUGCCUUUAUCUGGGGGAUAGCCUUUCGAAAGGAAGAUUAAUACUCCAUAAUAUAUUGAACGGCAUCGUUUAAUAUUGAAAGCUCCGGCGGAUAGAGAUGGGCACGCGCAAGAUUAGCUAGUUGGUGAGGUAACGGCUCACCAAGGCGAUGAUCUUUAGGGGGCCUGAGAGGGUGAUCCCCCACACUGGUACUGAGACAAGGACCAGACUCCUACGGGAGGCAGCAGUGAGGAAUAUUGGUCAAUGGGUGCAAGCCUGAACCAGCCAUCCCGCGUGAAGGAAGACUGCCCUAUGGGUUGUAAACUUCUUUUGUAUAGGGAUAAACCUACCCUCGUGAGGGUAGCUGAAGGUACUAUACGAAUAAGCACCGGCUAACUCCGUG